GACGAACGCUGGCGGCGUGCUUAACACAUGCAAGUCGAACGGAAAGGCCCUGCUUUUGUGGGGUGCUCGAGUGGCGAACGGGUGAGUAACACGUGAGUAACCUGCCCUUGACUUUGGGAUAACUUCAGGAAACUGGGGCUAAUACCGGAUAGGAGCUCCCGCUGCAUGGUGGGGGUUGGAAAGUUUCGGCGGUUGGGGAUGGACUCGCGGCUUAUCAGCUUGUUGGUGGGGUAGUGGCUUACCAAGGCUUUGACGGGUAGCCGGCCUGAGAGGGUGACCGGCCACAUUGGGACUGAGGUACGGCCCAGACUCCUACGGGAGGCAGCAGUGGGGAAUAUUGCACAAUGGGCGGAAGCCUGAUGCAGCAACGCCGCGUGCGGGAUGACGGCCUUCGGGUUGUAAACCGCUUUCGCCUGUGACGAAGCGUGAGUGACGGUAAUGGGUAAAGAAGCACCGGCUAACUACGUG
Molecule: ribosomal RNA, 468 nt
Filed under: uncultured bacterium
Lineage: Bacteria
Description: partial 16S ribosomal RNA
Rfam family: Bacterial small subunit ribosomal RNA
Source: RNAcentral